RNAcentral lists this unclassified non-coding RNA (1491 nucleotides) under Hevea brasiliensis (rubber tree). The record is from RNAcentral. Lineage: Eukaryota; Viridiplantae; Streptophyta; Magnoliopsida; Malpighiales; Euphorbiaceae.
GUAUGUUUGCUGAAUCCCAGCCACCUGAAUAAAUCGCAAAUUUGGAGUUGAUUGAAAUUCUUAAAAUUAUUUUCCAACUCAAUGCUGAAAAAUGAUGGGUAAAUUAAAGUGAUUUUGCUAACGUGAAUGAGUUCAGAUAAACUAUUUCCUACUGUAACUAGAUUCUACACUCCUAAACGGUGAAACCUGGCAAAUGCCCCAUCAAGCCUAUACAUAAACAACUGAUUGUGCAAUCAUGCAUUUAUCACAGUCCUAGACAGGCAUAUCAUGCAUUUGAUUCCUCAUCCUUAUCCCAUCUCAUCCUCUGAGGGAAUUGUUACUUCAACUCCGGUUUACUUUAAAAUACUUGUGUAAGAUAAGGACACUCAGAUAUAGAGGACGCUUUGACUCUUAAAAUAGUGAGCACCUCUAUGUCUAUGGUGUUAUGGAAAACAGGCAUCUCUGACCUCAGAAACAUGUCUGUAUCAGAAACAUGUACCAGAGUCUAAGCAAAUAAAACUCAAGGGAUAUUUCCUUCCCCACAGUUACCAGGACUAAUGUUGGAAAUUUCAUUUUAAAGGGAUAAGAUGACAGUCGACAAUCAUUUACAGGAUGCUGGGACCUUACACAUUCCAUCUAAACCUUUAGAUUUCAUUAUGGUACGUUGGUGAAAAGCAACUUCUCAAGGAAAACUUCAUUGCAGUGAGACUGACAGAACUGUCAGCAGUUCUAACAAUUUGACAUUUCUUAAUUCCACUAAAUCUUCCAUGAGAGUAGUGCCAACUUAUGUAUUCAUUGUUUCUUCUUUGUCUUCCAUUGUGCGCUCUAUUUUCUAAUUUCUAUUCCAGUAUAAACAAGAAAAAGAAUUUGCGAUGCAUAAAGACCACACCUCAAAGAUUUUCCUUCGCUUUCUUUUUUCUUCCAGCCACAUGCAACCAAACAAAUUGUCACUCUUCAAUAACAUGAAAAUGAUUUCAGAGUGUGUAUAUGUAUAACAUUUUUAAGGGGUGGGUGAGGGGUGGUUCUCAAACCAUGAUGUUCUAACAUUUCCAUCAUACAUGUAACACGCUACAUUAGUUCCUGAUGGUCCCUGGCACUAACGUUUCUAUUGAGAACCAUAGACAAACACUAAUGGUAUCUGUUGUGAAAAUCACUUAACACAAAAUAUAAUGUUGUUCAACAUAAGUCUACUCUACUAACAAAUUCACUAUCAAAAAGAAAAAUAAUUACAUACACUAAUUAUUUUUCUCUCCCUCAAUUACUCAAAAAAAGCACACUACGCAGCCACUAUCUUACCACUUGGCUCAACACUGCACUAAUGCACUUCUCUUAUAAAUACUCACAACUUGAUGGCCUAGCACAUGCUUUCUCUGACAUGCCUCUUACACCAAAUAUGGCGGCUCACUUUUAUAGGCCAUGACACGAAUACAAGUCCAAAUUGGACUUGGAUUAUAAAACUUAUCAAAUUCAGUUUUGACCGAAAUCAAACUUCUAAUAAACUCCCUUUUUUUC